Molecule: transfer RNA, 88 nt
Filed under: Rhodoferax sp.
Lineage: Bacteria; Pseudomonadati; Pseudomonadota; Betaproteobacteria; Burkholderiales; Comamonadaceae
Also listed under: 4 other names
Description: tRNA-Ser
Rfam family: tRNA
About the family: Transfer RNA (tRNA) molecules are approximately 80 nucleotides in length. Their secondary structure includes four short double-helical elements and three loops (D, anti-codon, and T loops).
Source: RNAcentral
GGAGAGAUGGCAGAGUGGUCGAAUGUACUUGACUCGAAAUCAAGCGUACCGCAAGGUACCGUGGGUUCGAAUCCCACUCUCUCCGCCA